This 253-nucleotide ribosomal RNA is filed under the name uncultured bacterium. Its description in RNAcentral is "partial 16S ribosomal RNA". It matches the Rfam family "Bacterial small subunit ribosomal RNA", at positions 524 to 776 of the family's 1533-position model. The record is from RNAcentral.
GACAGAGGCCUCGAGCGUUAGGCGGAAUCACUGGGCUUCAAGCGUGUGUAGGCGGGCCCGUAAGUGUCUUGUGAAAUCCCACGGCUCAACCGUGGAACUGCUGGGCAUACUGCGGGUCUUGGGCCAACUAGGGGCAGCCGGAACAAGCGGUGGAGCGGUGAAAUGCGUAGAUAUCGCUUGGAACGCCGAAGGUGAAAACAGGCUGCUGGGGUUGCGCCGACGCUGAGACACGAAAGCCAGGGGAGCAAACGGG